This 235-nucleotide ribosomal RNA is filed under the name uncultured bacterium. RNAcentral describes it as "partial 16S ribosomal RNA". It matches the Rfam family "Bacterial small subunit ribosomal RNA", at positions 99 to 334 of the family's 1533-position model. The record is from RNAcentral.
CGGACGGGUGAGUAACGCGUGGGUAACCUGCCUUAUACUGGGGGAUAACAGCCAGAAAUGACUGCCAAUACCGCAUAAGCGCACAGAACCGCAUGGUUCGGUGUGAAAAACUCCGGUGGUAUAAGAUGGACCCGCGUUGGAUUAGCUAGUUGGCAGGGCAGCGGCCUACCAAGGCGACGAUCCAUAGCCGGCCUGAGAGGGUGAACGGCCACAUUGGGACUGAGACACGGCCCAG